CGAAGGUGGCAAGCGUUACUCGGAAUUACUAGGCGUAAAGGGCAGGUAGGUGGUUUGGUUAGUCUAUUGUGAAAGCUCCCGGCUUAACUGGGAGAGGCCAAUGGAUACUGCCGAACUUGAGUAUAGGAGAGGUUACUGGAAUUCCCGGUGUAGCGGUGAAAUGCGCAGAGAUCGGGAGGAACACCAAUGGCGAAAGCAGGUAACUGGACUAUUACUGACACUCAGCUGCGAAAGCUAGGGGAGCAAACAGGAUUAGAUACCCUGGUAGUCCUAGCCGUAAACGAUGCACAUUAGACGUGAGGGGUAUCAACCCCCUUCGUGUCGACGCUAACGCAUUAAAUGUGCCGCCUGGGGAGUACGGCCGCAAGGUUG
Molecule: ribosomal RNA, 372 nt
Filed under: uncultured organism
Description: bacterial SSU rRNA
Rfam family: Bacterial small subunit ribosomal RNA
Source: RNAcentral